CAGUCGAGCGAACGGACGAGAAGCUUGCUUCUCUGAUGUUAGCGGCGGACGGGUGAGUAACACGUGGAUAACCUACCUAUAAGACUGGGAUAACUUCGGGAAACCGGAGCUAAUACCGGAUAAUAUUUUGAACCGCAUGGUUCAAAAGUGAAAGACGGUCUUGCUGUCACUUAUAGAUGGAUCCGCGCUGCAUUAGCUAGUUGGUAAGGUAACGGCUUACCAAGGCAACGAUGCAUAGCCGACCUGAGAGGGUGAUCGGCCACACUGGAACUGAGACACGGUCCAGACUCCUACGGGAGGCAGCAGUAGGGAAUCUUCCGCAAUGGGCGAAAGCCUGACGGAGCAACGCCGCGUGAGUGAUGAAGGUCUUCGGAUCGUAAAACUCUGUUAUUAGGGAAGAACAUAUGUGUAAGUAACUGUGCACAUCUUGACGGUACCUAAUCAGAAAGCCACGGCUAACUACGUGCCAGCAGCCGCGGUAAUACGUAGGUGGCAAGCGUUAUCCGGAAUUAUUGGGCGUAAAGCGCGCGUAGGCGGUUUUUUAAGUCUGAUGUGAAAGCCCACGGCUCAACCGUGGAGGGUCAUUGGAAACUGGAAAACUUGAGUGCAGAAGAGGAAAGUGGAAUUCCAUGUGUAGCGGUGAAAUGCGCAGAGAUAUGGAGGAACACCAGUGGCGAAAGCGACUUUCUGGUCUGUAACUGACGCUGAUGUGCGAAAGCGUGGGGAUCAAACAGGAUUAGAUACCCUGGUAGUCCACGCCGUAACGAUGA
RNAcentral lists this ribosomal RNA (770 nucleotides) under Staphylococcus aureus. RNAcentral describes it as "bacterial SSU rRNA". It matches the Rfam family "Bacterial small subunit ribosomal RNA", at positions 59 to 812 of the family's 1533-position model. The record is from RNAcentral. Lineage: Bacteria; Bacillati; Bacillota; Bacilli; Caryophanales; Staphylococcaceae.